RNAcentral lists this microRNA precursor (100 nucleotides) under Citrus sinensis (sweet orange). RNAcentral's name for it is "miR827 stem-loop (csi-MIR827)". Its record names the gene csi-MIR827. Lineage: Eukaryota; Viridiplantae; Streptophyta; Magnoliopsida; Sapindales; Rutaceae. The record is from miRBase by way of RNAcentral.
GCUUGUUGAUUGUCAUCUAAUCAUUUUCUUUUUCAUCCUAGAAUUUGAAUGAUUAUAUGGUUAGAUGACCAUCAACAAACAUAUUCAUGGUAUUGCAUGC